Molecule: long non-coding RNA, 1487 nt
Organism: Oncorhynchus mykiss (rainbow trout)
Lineage: Eukaryota; Metazoa; Chordata; Actinopteri; Salmoniformes; Salmonidae
Source: RefSeq, a predicted model, not a curated record
AUGGAUGACGUCAACGCUUCUGACAGGAUGUGUAGUUAUGUAUAAUAGCCACAUUAGCGGCUAUUUAGCGUUUCAUUUUGGGGUGAUGACUACAGGUGAAUAUAUUGAUACAAGUUACCUUGUCUGGGAGAUUUGUGCAGUUAUCAAUACAUUACUCCAGGGCUCCCGGUGCCUCUGAUCCCAGGACCUACACUACAUCGGAGACAUCGGUCUCACUCUAAUCCAGCUUUCUGGAAGACAGACCAGCAGGGAAAUGGACCACGGAAAAACACCCAACUUAACCAAACAUCAAGUGCACUGAACUGUAUGUUAGUGUACUGGUAUGUGUGUGAGUGUGCAUAAGCGCUUGUGUUUUGGUGUGUGUCUGUUUUGAAUAUUUGUGUACACCAGUGUGUGUAUAAGCAAGUGUGUGUAUGUGCAUGAAUGAGUAGGUGAGUUUCUGGCCUAGUCACCAGGCAGGCAGGGCUGAUGGAUGAGGCACAGGCCUGUGCCCAGGGACAAUGGACCCGGCCGCGCUACACUGCAGGCAAGGCAUUCAGCCCAGUUAUGAAACACAUUACUGGGCCAGACAGGCUCUAACCUCCUCCACCAUUUGCUGGGCAUAGAGCAAUGGUCUAACAGACUCCAACAUCUGUCCUGCAGGCACAGAGGGGUAGCCAGAAAAAUACCAACAAUCAGGCAUCUAUGAUAAAACUGGUGCCACUGCCAUUUCAACAGCAUUGUUUUUCUUCACCACUACCGUUAUUUUCAGCUGCUGAUCAUGGUAUAUCGCACAUGACAUACAUCUCAAAUAGCACAUUUUACAGGGAGGGGGAUGGACCCAAAGGAGGGCUGGAACUAGAGAGAGAGAGAGAGAGAGAGAGCUAAGGAGGUUCAGUAGCACCUAGAACUUCUGCUCAGAUACUGUCUGACUUUGUCCCUGACGGUAAAAUCUUAGUAAGACAAAAAUAAUGGUGUUCUAAAAAAGCUCCAGUUGCCAAGACAACAAAUACAAAUUCUAUCUAGUCACCGUUGCCCUAGAGCACACAACUAAAUAUAUCUACCACGGCCUAAACAUCAACACCACAGGUAACUUCCACAAGGCUAUGAACACUCUAAGAGAUAGGGCUUUCUAUGCCAUCAAAAGGCAGAUAAAACUCGACAUCCCAAUUAGGAUCUAGCUAAAAAAUAUUUCAGUUAGUUGUAGAACCAAUUGCUCUCUAUGGUUGUGAGGUCUGGGGUCCACUCACCAACCAAUAAUUCACAAAAUGGGACAAGCCCCCAAUUGAGACUAUACCCUUUAAAUAUCAAAAUCCAGAAAAGAGCUGUUAAAUUUUACAACCAAAUAAAAGGAAGCCAUCCCUACACAUUCCACCACAAAACCCUCACCUACAGAGAGAUUAACCUAGAGAAGAAUCCUUUCAGCCAGCUGGUACUGGGGCUCUGUUCACAAACACAAACAGACCCCACAGAACCCCAGGACAGCAACACAAUCAGACCCAACCAAA